CUAGAGAAAUCAUAUGAAAUUUUCACUUUGUAAUAAGCACACCAUACAUACCAGCCUUCUUAAAUUGCUAAAAAGGUUUUGAAUCAGAAAAAUCAAAUCAAAUAAAUUCAAACCAUGUGGAAGGAAGGCCUGUUCACUUUAAACGAUUAAACAAUUUGUGCUUCUAAACAUAUUUUUGAUGGUUUAUAUGUUUAAAAGUUCAAGUCAAAUAAGCUGUUUUGAUCCGUAGAAUUGAAGCCAAAAUAUUUUAAGAUGGUCAACUUGUAAACUUUUUGACAUUGACUCAUGUUUUCUCUUGCCAGAUUAAUGGCUUUUAUCUCUUUGAGACUCCCUUGGCUUCUGAGUGCCUCUUCUCAAUUUUAAAUAGUGGUUCAAACCCCAGUUAAGUUCUUGGAACCUGAGACAAGCUCCAGUGAUUUAAAGCAUUUUCAAAAAAUUCUAGUACAAGUAACACCGAUUUCUUCUGUACACUUCAAACAACAUCACCUCAAUUUUGCAGGGCUCUAAGAGAAAAAUCUAUAGUAGAGACGUAAACCUCAAUUGCUCUCUGAUAAUUUGGCUCAAUUUCCUGCAUUCAAAGCCUGUCCUGUUUUGCCCACCUGAGCUACAGUGUUCAGGGACUUCUCUGGAGUAAGAAAGUACCUGCUAAACAACAUGUGAAGUGGGGGGACUAUGUUUUGCAGCUCUUCUUUCUUCUGUUGAGCAGAGAUGGCAGAGAGGAAUGAACAUUUUUGUAUAGCUGCUCUUGGUGGAGGAGACACCAGGGGAAACUUGGGCAGUGGCAGAGGGAAUGAGGAAAUAGAACAACUGUUGUGGGCUGCACAGAGCAAAAGGCUCCAACAAAGAUAUGGCUCAAAAUCCAGGAGUGUUUGUGCAUGUCUCCAUAGUCCAUCUCAUCCAAUUCCUAGCAAUUUCUGUAAUACGUAAUAUAUGAGUCUGAUGUGGUGAUACAGCCUGUGUGUCUUUCUCUUAGUCCCUCCUAAUUAACUUUUAACUUGCCCCUGCUGAGAGAGGAUCUCAAGGUGUUUCACUUUCACCAGAUGGCCAGAAAGGAUGGAAGAGCUAUUCCCCCUGAGGCAAGUCCAGCCAAGGGAAAGAAUCUUGGAGCCCUCAGUAUCAGGCAAUCCACACAGCAUAACAAUUUAAGAACAUCCAAACUGCUGCAGAAGUUUUGGCUGCAGUUUGAUUUUUUAGGAAACCAAAGAACCUAACCAUGGAUCACAAUAAAAAACAAAAUUCUUUUUUGGUACUACUCACAACAAAAAACAAAAUUAAUUUUUGGUACUACUCAAUGAACGAGAGGAAACAUGGAAUCACAGAAUCAUAGAGUUAAUAAAGUUGGAGAAGGCCUCUGAGAUCACCAAAUCCAUCUGGUAACCUAGCACCUCCAUGGCCACCACUGAAGUGUCCCCUCAAGUGCCAUAUCAACAUGUGUUUUGGACACAUCCAGGGAUGAUGACUCUACUACUUCCCUGAGUAAUCCAUUCCAAUGCUUUACAACCCUUUUUGUGGAGAAUUUUUUCCUAAUAUUGCAGUCCUUGACUGAUUCUGCUUUACACCAGUGCCUCUUUGAUACAGGCUCAGUUAAAAUUUCAUGGUUGAGCUGGUGCAACUUUUCUAUGUGGUCCUUUUUAAAAUGAUUUGAUUUUUUUUCCCCCACCAGGAGAACAAAGAGAAACUGAACUGAUAGCAAGCAGAUUAACCCACUGAAAAGACAUUGGGUCAGGGUUAUGGUUUGGGAUAUUUGAAGACUGUGAAUAUUGCUAGAACAGAAUCAGAAAGAGAGGUGGCCUUUCUUUUGUACAAGUUUCACUUUAUCAGCUGCAGUGGAGUUUUUCCCAAUCUAAACCAGUGUUAGAGAAAGAGGUGAAGCACAGGGAACAGCAAGAGUGAGAAUUUUUGAAUUAGUGAACGGAAAAAUCUGGACCAUAUUUAAGAUUUAAGCACAUACAUUUCAUACACAGAAGAAUGAUGGAAAGGCAAAAAGAAAAAAAAAAAAAAAAAGCUUGUGAAGAUGCUAAAUGCAAUUUAUUCCAAGAAAUAAGAUUCAAGGAAGUGUUUGAGCAGAAAAAAAUAUGUUGUAUGCAAAGCAAAAAAAAAAAAAAAAGAAAUGUAGCAAAAACAAAUCCUCCUUGGCAUUUACUCCAGAGAACAGAGAAUACCAGGAAGACAAGACAAUAAUUAAGCUUCUGUGUUGCAUUACUUUAAAAAUUCACUUGAAUGAAAGGAAGCAGUACAAUAAUGAACUGAGACAGACAGCACUGUUCAAUUAGAGGUUAAAUUUAAGGGAGUUUAUAAGAGCAACACUUAACAAAGAACAACUUGGUUGAACUUAUUAUUAUGGAAAAGGGGGAAAAAAGUUGUGGUGUGUUAAAUGGCAUUUAUAAAAUAGGCGGAUCUGAUCAAACCGAUCCAGAUUAGUCCUCCACAGCAGUAAGACCUUAAAAUUAGGUCAGGGGAUGAAAGGAGAGCUGAGUCUGAACUGUUUCAUAUGAAGGCGAUGUGACAUAUGGAACACGUUACAGCUCAGAGAGCAUGAAUGUUUUCAGGAAAGAAAAUGACAGGGCAAUUCAUAAGGAAAUUUACAACCAUGGAAGCUUCAAAAGGAAUACAAUUCCUAUUUAUCUGAGUAUUUGUUUAGGGGAGUCAAGCACUGCCUGUGCUCCAAAGGAUAAACAUUAUUUAUUCUUCUUUCCACCUUCCAAACAAUCGUGUUUGUGGGGUUUGGUUUGUUCCAUUUUCAUUGGGCUGCAAUUUUGCCUUCCCAGAACACAAAGGACAAGAGCUACUAACAUUUUAAGGGCUAUGUUCUUUAGCUUCAAUAGUAAUGGCUUAAAAACCAUCUUUUUUUGUAUUCUGUUCUGCCUUCACAAGGAGUUCAACAAGUGAAGACUUUUCAGUACAAAACAGUCCUUGAACAAGUUGUUCCUCAGCCUCCCUGCUAGGUAUUUCAGAUUCUGUCUCCUGAAGGAAAAUAUUGAACACUAAUACAGAACUUCAAUUUCAAAUCUUGAACCUGAGACCCUACUGUCAUCUGAAAAUUUCUCUUGAGUUAGAAACAAACUGAAGAAAAUUGAGAGAGACAAUCAUUCCUUGUCUUUACACCGUAUAUAAAACUCUAAUUUUCACUGACAAAAAUCGCAGGCUAGGAGGAAGGCAAUGAAGUUACAAUACAUUUUGUGGAGUGAUACCUGCAUGAAAGACAUUUCUUCUGUAGGAAUGUAGAUGAACUAGUCUCUCUUCUUGCAGUUUGCUGUUUUUUUCUUCCACAUAGCUGUAGACCAGCACAACCAGCUUCAGUCUAAACUCAGUAUUAUUCCCAAAUUUAAGGAAAAGGAAAUAAUUUGGUGAACUGCUGAUCUUAGCUAGAGCACAAAAAAAAGAGGACAAGGAGAGCAUUUUGUUUUACCAGCUUGUUGUUUAGAUAUUUGUAUAUUCCAUUUUUCAAUAUUUUCCUAUGGUGGUUUUAAAAUAAUUGGAUCAGUUCUGGGAUCCUUUUCUUAAGAAUGCUGCAUCAGACACAUUGCACCUGCAAGUCUAACAAGACUUUUUAUAUCUGGGGGGUUGUGAACCUUUGAGGAAUAGGGAGAGGCAAUUCAGAGAGUAGCCGUUGAUUCAUGGAGUGGCCAUGGAUGUAUUUGCAUGUGGAUUCAGGGAAACGCGGAGUCACAGCCUCAGGAGAAGCAAACACAGGUGCAGUUCUGGGUGAAAUGCAGCAGCUCUUCCCCGGCAAGGCUCAGUGCUUGGGACAAACUCCAGAGCAGCAAUGUUGUCUCUCCUAAACCGUCUUAACACUGGAAGGGGCUGCUCAGGGAGGUUUGGAGUCCCCAUUCCUGGAGGUGGGAAUGACUAGAUAUGGCACUCAGUGCUCUGGGAUGGGUGACAAAGUGGUUGGCAGUCUCAAGUUGAACUCGAUACUCUUAAAGGUCUUUUCCAACCUUAAUAAUUUUGUGAUUCAGUGGUUCUAUGCCCUCAGUGCAAACAUCUGUGUUCAAGGGUCACAGCAGAGCUCUCAGAAAAACAAAUAAACGCCGUUUUAAAAAAUUUUAUUGACAGAAAUAUCUCAGGUUAACUUCAGGGUCUAUUUCAAUUAUACCCAAACAAAAGCUCACUUCAUUUCUAACUAGCAUUCCCUAUAUUCCCUGUAUUUCUUUUUCCUAGUGGGUGCAAGUCCUGUCUGUACUCAUAAACCAGGCUUAGGAAUACAAGAUUUUUCAUAAUGAAACUCUACACUUUUGAAUUUGCAGCCCUUGCUUUAUUCUGUUUGUUUGCUUGAUUUUACUGUUUUCUUUACUUUACAAAAGAAAAAGGAAAUCAGAAGAUGUUAAAAAAGACAGAGGUUGUUUUCAGCUUCUGAAACAAAAAAAAAAAAAAAAAAAAAAAAAAAACAAAA
Long non-coding RNA from Motacilla alba alba, 4393 nucleotides. RefSeq lists it as uncharacterized. The transcript has 2 exons. The record is from RefSeq and is a predicted model, not a curated record. NCBI's taxonomy places the organism in Eukaryota, Metazoa, Chordata, Aves, Passeriformes, Motacillidae.